AGACGGAGGGUGCAAGCGUUACUCGGAAUCACUGGGCGUAAAGCGUACGUAGGCGGCUUGUCAAGUUGGAUGUGAAAUCCCACAGCUUAACUGUGGAACUGCGUCCAAAACUGACAGGCUCGAGAACAGUAGGGGACAGUGGAACUCAAGGUGGAGCGGUGAAAUGCGUAGAGAUCUUGAGGAACACCGGUGGCGAAAGCGACUGUCUGGGCUGUUUCUGACGCUGAGGUACGAAAGCCAGGGGAGCGAACGGGAUUAGAUACCCUUGUAGUCC
This 274-nucleotide ribosomal RNA is filed under the name uncultured bacterium. RNAcentral describes it as "partial 16S ribosomal RNA". It matches the Rfam family "Bacterial small subunit ribosomal RNA", at positions 523 to 796 of the family's 1533-position model. The record is from RNAcentral.